RNAcentral lists this ribosomal RNA (477 nucleotides) under uncultured bacterium. RNAcentral describes it as "partial 16S ribosomal RNA". It matches the Rfam family "Bacterial small subunit ribosomal RNA", at positions 28 to 507 of the family's 1533-position model. The record is from RNAcentral.
GAUUAACGCUGGCGGCGUGCAUAACACAUGCAAGUCGAACGAUGAAACUUUAAUGAACCCUUCGGGGAGAGUUAAAGCGGAUUAGUGGCGAACGGGUGAGUAACGCGUGAGUAACCUGCCUUACACAAGGGGAUAGCCUUUGGAAACGAAGAAUAAUACCCUAUAAAACCAUAAAAGCACAUGCAAUUAUGGUCAAAGUGAUAGCGGUGUAAGAUGGACUUGCGUCUGAUUAGCUAGUUGGUGAGAUAAAAGCCCACCAAGGCAACGAUCAGUAGCCGGCUUGAGAGAGUGUACGGCCACAUUGGGACUGAGACACGGCCCAGACUCCUACGGGAGGCAGCAGUGGGGAAUUUUGCACAAUGGGGGAAACCCUGAUGCAGCGACGCCGCGUGAUUUAGAAGGCCUUCGGGUUGUAAAAAUCUUUUGUAUAGGAAGAAAAUGACAGUACUAUACGAAUAAGGUCCGGCUAAUUACGUG